RNAcentral lists this ribosomal RNA (442 nucleotides) under uncultured bacterium. RNAcentral describes it as "partial 16S ribosomal RNA". It matches the Rfam family "Bacterial small subunit ribosomal RNA", at positions 338 to 795 of the family's 1533-position model. The record is from RNAcentral.
CCUACGGGAGGCAGCAGUAGGGAAUCUUUCACAAUGGGCGAAAGCCUGAUGGAGCAACGCCGCGUGCAGGAUGAAGGCCUUCGGGUUGUAAACUGCUUUUAUAAGCGAGAAAUAUGAUGGUAACUUAUGAAUAAGGAUCGGCUAACUACAUGCCAGCAGCCGCGGUCAUACGUAGGAUCCGGGAAUUAUACGGAGUGACUGGGUGUAAAGAGUUGCGUAGGUGGCAUAAUAAGUAGCUAGUGAAAUCUGGUGGCUUAACCAUUCAGACUAUUAGCUAAACUGUUAAGCUCGAGACCGUUAGGGGUAACUGGAAUUUCUAGUGUAGGAGUGAAAUCCGUAGAUAUGAGAAGGAACACCAAUAGCGUAGGCAGGUUGCUGGGACGGUUCUGACACUAAGGCACGAAAGCGUAGGGAGCAAACGGGAUUAGAUACCCUAGUAGUC